Molecule: ribosomal RNA, 628 nt
Filed under: uncultured fungus
Lineage: Eukaryota; Fungi
Description: eukaryotic LSU rRNA
Rfam family: Eukaryotic large subunit ribosomal RNA
Source: RNAcentral
AUAUCAAUAAGCGGAGGAAAAGAAACUAACAAGGAUUCCCCUAGUAACUGCGAGUGAAGCGGGAAAAGCUCAAAUUUAAAAUCUGUCAGUCUUUGGCUGUCCGAGUUGUAAUCUAGAGAAGCGUUAUCCGCGCUGGACCGUGUACAAGUCUCCUGGAAUGGAGCGUCAUAGAGGGUGAGAAUCCCGUCUUUGACACGGACUGCCAGGGCUUUGUGAUGCGCUCUCAAAGAGUCGAGUUGUUUGGGAAUGCAGCUCAAAAUGGGUGGUAAAUUCCAUCUAAAGCUAAAUAUUGGCGAGAGACCGAUAGCGAACAAGUACCGUGAGGGAAAGAUGAAAAGAACUUUGGAAAGAGAGUUAAACAGUACGUGAAAUUGCUGAAAGGGAAACGCUUGAAGUCAGUCGCGUUGUCCAGGGAUCAACCUUGCUUUUGCUUGGUGUAUUUUCUGGUUGACGGGUCAGCAUCAAUUUUGACUGUUGGAAAAAGGUCAGGGGAAUGUGGCAUCUUUAGAUGUGUUAUAGCCCUUGGUUGCAUACAAUGGUUGGGAUUGAGGAACUCAGCAUGCCGCAAGGCCGAGUAACUUGUUUACUACGUACAUGCUUAGGAUGCUGGCAUAAUGGCUUUAAUCGA